CAGCAGCCGCGGUAAUACGGAGGGUGCAAGCGUUAAUCGGAAUUACUGGGCGUAAAGCGCACGCAGGCGGUCUGUCAAGUCAGAUGUGAAAUCCCCGGGCUUAACCUGGGAAUGGCAGUGGAUACUGGCUCGCUAGAGUGUGUCAGAGGAUGGUGGAAUUCCCGGUGUAGCGGUGAAAUGCGUAGAGAUCGGGAGGAACAUCAGUGGCGAAGGCGGCCAUCUGGGACAACACUGACGCUGAGGCACGAAAGCGUGGGGAGCAAACAGGAUUAGAUACCCGAGUAGUCCCUGUCUCUUAUAC
RNAcentral lists this ribosomal RNA (301 nucleotides) under uncultured bacterium. Its description in RNAcentral is "partial 16S ribosomal RNA". It matches the Rfam family "Bacterial small subunit ribosomal RNA", at positions 509 to 807 of the family's 1533-position model. The record is from RNAcentral.